Molecule: ribosomal RNA, 237 nt
Filed under: uncultured Glomeromycotina
Lineage: Eukaryota; Fungi; Glomeromycota
Description: partial small subunit ribosomal RNA
Rfam family: Eukaryotic small subunit ribosomal RNA (bases 46-237)
Source: RNAcentral
UGACCAUCAUGUCGGUCGUGCCUCGGUACGUACUGGUAUUGUUGGUUUCUCCCUUCUGACGAACCAUGAUGUCAUUUAUUUGGUGUUGUGGGGAAUCAGGACUGUUACUUUGAAAAAAUUAGAGUGUUUAAAGCAGGCUCACGCUUGAAUACAUUAGCAUGGAAUAAUGAAAUAGGACGUUUGAUUCUAUUUUGUUGGUUUCUAGGAUCGACGUAAUGAUUAAUAGUGAUAGUUGGG